Molecule: ribosomal RNA, 422 nt
Filed under: uncultured bacterium
Lineage: Bacteria
Description: bacterial SSU rRNA
Rfam family: Bacterial small subunit ribosomal RNA
Source: RNAcentral
UGAGGAAUAUUUGACAAUGGGCGCAAGCCUGAACCAGCCAUGCCGCGUGCAGGAUGAAGCAUCUAUGGUGUGUAAACUGCUUCUGUACGGGAAGAAACCACCCCUCGUGAGGGGUAUUUACGGUACCGUAAGAAUAAGGAUCGGCUAACUCCGUGCCAGCAGCCGCGGGAAUACGGAGGAUCCAAGCGUUAUCCGGAAUCAUUGGGUCUAAAGGGUCCGUAGGCGUGUCUGUAAGUCAGUGGUGAAAUCUCCCCGCUCAACGGUGAAACUGCCAUUGAUACUGCAGGUAUUGAAUUAUAGAGAAGUAACUAGAAUAUGUAGUGUAGCAGUGAAAUGCAGAGAGAUUACAGGGAAUACCGAUUGAGAAGGCAGGUAACUACAAAUGGAAUGACGAUGAUGGAGGAAAGAGUGGGUAGCGAAAA